RNAcentral lists this ribosomal RNA (501 nucleotides) under uncultured bacterium. Its description in RNAcentral is "partial 16S ribosomal RNA". It matches the Rfam family "Bacterial small subunit ribosomal RNA", at positions 29 to 523 of the family's 1533-position model. The record is from RNAcentral.
AUUGAACGCUGGCGGCACGCCUAACACAUGCAAGUCGAGCGGCAGCGCGAUCAGUAGCAAUACUGAUUGGCGGCGAGCGGCGGACGGGUGAGGAACACGUAGGAACCUGCCUAAGAGAGGGGGAUAACUAAUGGAAACGUUAGCUAAUACCGCAUAAUCUCGAGAGAGCAAAGCUGCAGCAAUGUAGCGCUAUUAGAGGGGCCUGCGUCCGAUUAGGUAGUUGGUGAGGUAAGAGCUCACCAAGGCGAUGAUCGGUAACUGGUCUGAGAGGACGACCAGUCACACUGGGACCGAGACACGGCCCAGACUCCUACGGGAGGCAGCAGUGGGGAAUCUUGGACAAUGGGGGCAACCCUGAUCCAGCGAUGCCGCGUGAGUGAAGAAGGCCCUCGGGUCGUAAAGCUCUUUAGGCUGGGAAGAAGGUUAUUGGAGGAAAUGCCAGUAAUUUGACUGUACCAGCAGAAUAAGCACCGGCAAACUCUGUGCCAGCCGCCGCCGUAA